CGUGUUGGACGCCACAUAAACACUGAGUUUUGUAAAAGACACAGACUUUGGAGCGCAGCCAAAAUGCCAGGAACCAAAGGUAACAAAUCUGACAAGAAAUCAGCUACCAAGCAACCUCAGAGUCCUAAGGAGCAACCGAAGAAAGCUGAUCAGAAAGGAGAUGAUAACAAAAAGCAAGGAGGACAGCCAAAGGGAGAGAAGCAAUAAUUUCCAGACAUUUGUGAAGAUGGCUCUGGAGACUCUGCUGGGAUCCUGCCAUCACAAGAAUGGGGAUCCUCGGGGUAGGCAAGGCUGAAGAGCAGCCUCCCAUCCUCUCCCCACCUCCUUGGACCUGCAGACAGGUCAUCGCUACACAACUGCGCUCACCUGUUCUCACAAGGGCAGAAAGUGUCCCAGAUUUCCAUCCAUCAGUGAUCCACUGUGUGCCCUUUCUUCCCACCCUGUUUCCCCUCCCUCAUUGUCUGCUCUGGAUUGUAGGACGCUUGGAAAUGGAUGGUCACGAGGUCAAACCAAGCCAAUGCUCUGAGCUUCCCCAGAAACCGAAACCUUCAUCUACCCAAUCUUUCACUCUCUUCCUAUCUAAAGUUCCUUAUUUUGAUCAACUGUCUAACGGUCCAAACCAUUCUUGUAAAUAAGCAAAUAAACUAUUAUUUCCUAAAACAGUC
Long non-coding RNA from Coregonus clupeaformis (lake whitefish), 665 nucleotides. RefSeq lists it as uncharacterized. The transcript has 4 exons. NCBI's taxonomy places the organism in Eukaryota, Metazoa, Chordata, Actinopteri, Salmoniformes, Salmonidae. The record is from RefSeq and is a predicted model, not a curated record.